GACGAACGCUGGCGGCGUGCUUAACACAUGCAAGUCGAACGGUGAAGGGAGCUUGCUCCCGGAUCAGUGGCGAACGGGUGAGUAACACGUGAGCAACCUACCCUUGACUCUGGGAUAACAGUUGGAAACAGCUGCUAAUACCGGAUAUGACCUCAGAGGGCAUCCUCAGAGGUGGAAAGCUCCGACGGUCAAGGAUGGGCUCGCGGCCUAUCAGCUUGUUGGUGGGGUAACGGCCCACCAAGGCGACGACGGGUAGCCGGCCUGAGAGGGCGACCGGCCACACUGGGACUGAGAUACGGCCCAGACUCCUACGGGAGGCAGCAGUGGGGAAUAUUGCACAAUGGGCGAAAGCCUGAUGCAGCAACGCCGCGUGCGGGAUGACGGCCUUCGGGUUGUAAACCGCUUUCAGCAGGGACGAAGCUUUUGUGACGGUACCUGCAGAAGAAGCACCGGCUAACUACGUGCCAGCCGCCGCCGUAA
This 480-nucleotide ribosomal RNA is filed under the name uncultured bacterium. Its description in RNAcentral is "partial 16S ribosomal RNA". It matches the Rfam family "Bacterial small subunit ribosomal RNA", at positions 28 to 523 of the family's 1533-position model. The record is from RNAcentral.